GAUGAACGCUGGCGGCGUGCCUAAUACAUGCAAGUCGAGCGAACGGACGAGAAGCUUGCUUUUCUGAUGUUAGCGGCGGACGGGUGAGUAACACGUGGAUAACCUACCUAUAAGACCGGGAUAACUUCGGGAAACCGGAGCUAAUACCGGAUAAUAUUUUGAACCGCAUGGUUCAAAAGUGAAAGACGGUCUUGCUGUCACUUAUAGAUGGAUCCGCGCUGCAUUAGCUAGUUGGUAAGGUAACGGCUUACCAAGGCAACGAUGCAUAGCCGACCUGAGAGGGUGAUCGGCCACACUGGAACUGAGACACGGUCCAGACUCCUACGGGAGGCAGCAGUAGGGAAUCUUCCGCAAUGGGCGAAAGCCUGACGGAGCAACGCCGCGUGAGUGAUGAAGGUCUUCGGAUCGUAAAACUCUGUUAUUAGGGAAGAACAUAUGUGUAAGUAACUGUGCACAUCUUGACGGUACCUAAUCAGAAAGCCACGGCUAACUACGUGCCAGCAGCCGCGGUAAUACGUAGGUGGCAAGCGUUAUCCGGAAUUAUUGGGCGUAAAGCGCGCGUAGGCGGUUUUUUAAGUCUGAUGUGAAAGCCCACGGCUCAACCGUGGAGGGUCAUUGGAAACUGGAAAACUUGAGUGCAGAAGAGGAAAGUGGAAUUCCAUGUGUAGCGGUGAAAUGCGCAGAGAUAUGGAGGAACACCAGUGGCGAAGGCGACUUUCUGGUCUGUAACUGACGCUGAUGUGCGAAAGCGUGGGGAUCAAACAGGAUUAGAUACCCUGGUAGUCCACGCCGUAAACGAUGAGUGCUAAGUGUUAGGGGGUUUCCGCCCCUUAGUGCUGCAGCUAACGCAUUAAGCACUCCGCCUGGGGAGUACGACCGCAAGGUUGAAACUCAAAGGAAUUGACGGGGACCCGCACAAGCGGUGGAGCAUGUGGUUUAAUUCGAAGCAACGCGAAGAACCUUACCAAAUCUUGACAUCCUUUGACAACUCUAGAGAUAGAGCCUUCCCCUUCGGGGGACAAAGUGACAGGUGGUGCAUGGUUGUCGUCAGCUCGUGUCGUGAGAUGUUGGGUUAAGUCCCGCAACGAGCGCAACCCUUAAGCUUAGUUGCCAUCAUUAAGUUGGGCACUCUAAGUUGACUGCCGGUGACAAACCGGAGGAAGGUGGGGAUGACGUCAAAUCAUCAUGCCCCUUAUGAUUUGGGCUACACACGUGCUACAAUGGACAAUACAAAGGGCAGCGAAACCGCGAGGUCAAGCAAAUCCCAUAAAGUUGUUCUCAGUUCGGAUUGUAGUCUGCAACUCGACUACAUGAAGCUGGAAUCGCUAGUAAUCGUAGAUCAGCAUGCUACGGUGAAUACGUUCCCGGGUCU
Molecule: ribosomal RNA, 1372 nt
Filed under: uncultured bacterium
Lineage: Bacteria
Description: bacterial SSU rRNA
Rfam family: Bacterial small subunit ribosomal RNA
Source: RNAcentral